GCCUGGGUGGCUCAGUCGGUUAAGCGGCUGACUUCAGCUCAGGUCAUGAUCUCGCGGUCCGUGAGUUCGAGCCCCACUUCGGGCU
Molecule: transfer RNA, 85 nt
Filed under: Felis catus (domestic cat)
Lineage: Eukaryota; Metazoa; Chordata; Mammalia; Carnivora; Felidae
Rfam family: tRNA
About the family: Transfer RNA (tRNA) molecules are approximately 80 nucleotides in length. Their secondary structure includes four short double-helical elements and three loops (D, anti-codon, and T loops).
Source: Rfam by way of RNAcentral